GUGAGAGGAACAUUGUAAAAGCUACAAGCACAUUGUCCAAGACGGGACUGCAAAUCACAUGAGGAGAGCCACACCCUGGCAGGAGCUGGGGGGGGGGUGUGACCAGCAUCUGUGCCGGACUGGGAGGUGCAAACCAGAAAGCAAAAGGAUCUGCGGCAAGAAUUUGACAAAAAGGUGAAAAAGAAGCAAAGGAUGAAAUGCAACAAAAACGAUUCAGGAAGGUGCCGAGUGGGAGGCUGAGGGUCGGUCCGCCCAGCAUGAAGCAUCCUCCACUGCUCACUGGAUGGAUGAACCAGGGACAGAGUGAAAGAUUCAGCU
Molecule: long non-coding RNA, 318 nt
Organism: Brienomyrus brachyistius
Lineage: Eukaryota; Metazoa; Chordata; Actinopteri; Osteoglossiformes; Mormyridae
Exons: 3
Source: RefSeq, a predicted model, not a curated record